AGGACGAACGCUGGCGGCGCGCUUAACACAUGCAAGUCGAGCGAGAACCUGGCCUUCGGGCCUGGGGAAAGCGGCGAACGGGUGAGUAACACGUGGGUAACCCACCCUUGGUACUGGGAUAGCCCGGGGAAACCCGGAUUAAUACCGGAUGGCCCAACAGCUCUUCGGGGCGGUUGGAAAAGGUAGCUUCGGCCUCCGACCAAGGACGGGCCCGCGGCGGAUUAGCUUGUUGGUGGGGUAACGGCCUACCAAGGCGACGAUCCGUAGCUGGUCUGAGAGGACGAUCAGCCACACUGGGACUGAGACACGGCCCAGACUCCUACGGGAGGCAGCAGUGGGGAAUCUUGCGCAAUGGGCGAAAGCCUGACGCAGCGACGCCGCGUGGGGGAAGAAGGCUUUCGGGUUGUAAACCCCUUUCAGGAAGGACGAAGCUACUCGGGUUAAUAGCCCAGAGGGUGACGGUACUUCCAGAAGAAGCCCCGGCUAACUACGUGCCAGCAGCCGC
Molecule: ribosomal RNA, 505 nt
Filed under: uncultured bacterium
Lineage: Bacteria
Description: SSU rRNA
Rfam family: Bacterial small subunit ribosomal RNA
Source: RNAcentral